CAAAUGGUGUACUAUAAGUGAAAAUUAUGCACUAUAGCUUGCUCUCAAACAUCUCAACAACUGGACAAAGAAAGUAGUCUCCAUGACAUAGAGGCCACCUUUUGUAAAUAGUAUAUUUUGGGCAAUUCCAUGCCUUUUAUUAGUGAGAUGAGAGAGAUGGGAAGGACUCCCUGGCUCAACUCAAACCAGAUAUGUUAUGGUUCAUAUACGUUGCCUUUAACUCUAAAUUUUAAAACCGUGCCGCAUUACCCCUGCAAGGGAUGACACAAUAUAAUCACUAUUCACAAGUGUCCAAUGUCCCAAUUUACUAUUCACUACACAGCACACUAUUGAGUGUCUAUUAUAAACGGAAUAACGAAUGAGUAAGCGAGGGAGUGAUUUCAGACAGCCUCUGUCGAAACAUCUUAAGGAUGUUAUUAAAACAUUUAGUGUUAAGUGUGUUCAACACUCAUGAAACCAGAAUUGCCAGCUGGGAGCGACCUAUGACCAUGUAAACCCAAGUCUCCGCUUUGUAUCUUGAAUAUCUACGGCCUCAUUAAGCUUUUUAAUGUUCUGGGUGGCACCAGAGACAUAUUUGGGCAUUUGAGCACCGCUACGGUCCUGAACGAGGUAUCUAGGCUUGACUCCGUUAGAAAUGGGACCGAGCCCUCCUCCAACCCCUUCCCCUGCGGCUUUGCAAAGUGGAAACACAUUUCGCUGAGCCUCCGCCGCUGCGCUGAUGAUGUGCCGUGAAUACUGUUGAAACAGGUUUUCCUCUUCAGCGAUGAGCUCUGCGGUCUUCACUUCAAACUCAUGUUCCUCUCUUCUCAGCUGCUGAUGCCGGGCACUUUUUUGAGCCUAUAUUUAAAGGAUGAAAGACAAAUGUCAAACUACCACCAAACCCAAAUUGUUAAUUUUUGCAAUGAUGUGUGACGGGUUUUAACAUUACCAUUUGUGUGGCAUGGAAUUCUUGUAGUUUUCUUCUUUCUUCCUUGAUCCUCUGAGUCUUCAGUUGUUGUUUCUCGGAAAAUAUUCUGUCAGCCUGUUUCUUGGCCUGAAGUCUGUCUCGGGUGUUCUGUUCGUCCAUUUUGUCCCUCUGCUCCUUUUCCAGUCUCUGAUGAGACAGUGUGUGUUACAGGUGUGAGAACAUUGUGUUAGCUGCAGCUGGAGUCUCAGGUGAAACCAGAUUUCACUGCAGCUAUACCACGAAAAAAAUAUGUGACAAACUUUUUUUUAACCCACAGGUGCAGCAUCUGAACGUGUGUUACCAGGAAUUCUCUGUGUGCAGCGAUCGACUCCAACAUCGCAGCCUUCUUCUCCUCCUCCUCCCUCUGCCACUGUGCCUGUUUUGCAUCCCGCUCAGCGACAGCCUUUGCAGUCCGCUGCUCCUCCGUGUCAGUUUGCUCCUGCUGUGUGACGGUCAGCUUGUCCAUGAUCCUCUCUCUGUGCAUCUGGGCCUCUCUGAAGAAUGAAACAACUCACAAGCGUGAUCGAUAUACACUAGGGAUCCGUCGUUAGGAGAGAAAAAGUUUCCUUUGCUCCUCUUCAGCAUUCUGUUUUUGUGCAUCUGCCGCUCUUAUGAUGUCUCUAUUGGUGAUAUGUUCCUGAAUACAGAGUAUACAGUAGUGAACAUAUGUUUUAUAAAAUAAGGAUACAAAUACUAGAUAACCUGCGCUGCUAAGGCCCUACCAGCCAUUCAGCCUUGGUUAAGACAGUGACUUGCCGGAGGUCUGGUGGCUGGAUCAUCCUGCUGGCUUCCUCAACUGAAGACACUAUUAGAAAAAGGAGGAAAGAAGACACACUACAUCUAGAACACAGUAUAUUUAAGGGGACUAAAAAAAAGAUACACCAUCACUUUGUGUAAUUUAGGUAGCUGAAGUCCAGAUUAAUUAUUUAAAAUAGUUAUAGCUACAUAUUACAGUAAUGCUUUUGUCUAGAAUGUUCUACGAUGCUUUUUUUAUGUUGAAAGUUUACAUUUUGUAAUUGCACAUGGAAUUGAAGAACAUAUAUCAUUCUGAAUGAUUUGGGAUCAAGUGAGGAAUUGCCUUUUGACAUUUAUAAACAUUUUAGUUUUGUCUUUUGGUGGCUAACGUUAGUCAAAAGAGCCUUCAUGGGGUGAGGUUGCACUGGAGUGUUUCUGUUUCUGACCAUGCAUAUGCGAAAUAUAAAUAUACGCAAAAAUAAUACUGUGCAGUGAUAUUAAAUAUCUGUAGCAUUGCACAGGAAGUUGUUUUCUUUUGAAAGCGUCUGCAUGUUUUUUUGUGGGAUAGAUGCAAAAUAAUUAAAUAACUCGUGUGUUUUCGGAGCCAUGUCUUAAAUUGUUCUGACUUUAGUUUAACGUUUACA
Perca flavescens (yellow perch) is the source of this 2325-nucleotide long non-coding RNA. RefSeq lists it as uncharacterized. NCBI's taxonomy places the organism in Eukaryota, Metazoa, Chordata, Actinopteri, Perciformes, Percidae. The transcript has 4 exons. The record is from RefSeq and is a predicted model, not a curated record.